ACACUGUGACAAUGUGAAAGGGGUUGCUCGUAGUGAUGAACCUACAGAGAAUUAUCACUUAAAGCUGCAGCUCCUCUCAGCUUUACAGAGCUUUAUAGUGAGUUUCAACUCAUUGCUUAGUUGUCUGACCCACAACUUUACUGUUUGGGUUCACUCUCAUCACUCUUGUAGCGGCCUUU
Etheostoma cragini (Arkansas darter) is the source of this 179-nucleotide long non-coding RNA. RefSeq lists it as uncharacterized. The record is from RefSeq and is a predicted model, not a curated record. NCBI's taxonomy places the organism in Eukaryota, Metazoa, Chordata, Actinopteri, Perciformes, Percidae. The transcript has 3 exons.